Molecule: ribosomal RNA, 454 nt
Filed under: uncultured bacterium
Lineage: Bacteria
Description: bacterial SSU rRNA
Rfam family: Bacterial small subunit ribosomal RNA
Source: RNAcentral
UACGGGCAGCAGUGGGGAAUAUUGCACAAUGGGCGAAAGCCUGAUGCAGCUAUGCCGCGUGUAUGAAGAAGGCCUUAGGGUUGUAAAGUACUUUCAUCGGGGAGGAAAAAACAAAACUAAUAAUUUUAUUUCUUGACGUUACCCGAAAAAGAAGCACCGGCUAACUCCGUGCCAGCAGCCGCGGUAAUACGGAGGGUGCUAGCGUUAAUCAGAAUUACUGGGCGUAAAGAGCACGUAGGUGGUUUUUUAAGUCAGAUGUGAAAUCCCUGGGCUUUAACCUAGGAACUGCAUUUUGAAACUGAAAUACUAGAGUAUCGUAGAGGGAGGUAGAAUUCUAGGUGUAGCGGUGAAAUGCGUAGAUAUCUGGAGGAAUACCUGUGGCGAAAGCGGCCUCCUAAACGAAUACUGACACUGAGGGUGCGAAAGCGUGGGGAGCAAACAGGGAUUAGAUACC